GACGAACGCUGGCGGCGUGCCUAACACAUGCAAGUCGAACGAGGUCCAUGCAGUGGCAACACUGCGGACGACCUAGUGGCGAACGGGUGAGUAACACGUGAGGAACUUGCCCCGGAGACCGGGAUAACCCUCCGAAAGGAGAGCUAAUACCGGAUGUCCUCACCGAGUCGCAUGGCUUGGUGAGGAAAUGGAUUCCGCUCCGGGGGAGCCUCGCGGCCUAUCAGCUUGUUGGUGGGGUAACGGCCCACCAAGGCAUCGACGGGUAGCUGGUCUGAGAGGACGAUCAGCCACACUGGGACUGAGACACGGCCCAGACUCCUACGGGAGGCAGCAGUGGGGAAUCUUGCGCAAUGGGCGAAAGCCUGACGCAGCAACGCCGCGUGCGGGAUGAAGGCCCUCGGGUUGUAAACCGCUUUCAGUGGGGACGAACCAAGACGGUACCCACAGAAGAAGGUCCGGCCAACUACGUGCCAGCCGCCGCCGUAA
RNAcentral lists this ribosomal RNA (486 nucleotides) under uncultured bacterium. Its description in RNAcentral is "partial 16S ribosomal RNA". It matches the Rfam family "Bacterial small subunit ribosomal RNA", at positions 28 to 523 of the family's 1533-position model. The record is from RNAcentral.